RNAcentral lists this transfer RNA (71 nucleotides) under Loxodonta africana (African savanna elephant). It matches the Rfam family "tRNA". Rfam says of the family: Transfer RNA (tRNA) molecules are approximately 80 nucleotides in length. Lineage: Eukaryota; Metazoa; Chordata; Mammalia; Proboscidea; Elephantidae. The record is from Rfam by way of RNAcentral.
GCAAUGGUAGUUCAGUGGUAGAUCUCUCGACUUGCAUGUGGGAGACCAGGGUUCAAUUCCUGGCCAGUGUA